CUCAGUGUACUUGUUCUCUAUUAAACACCUAUAUGUUUGUUCUAGUGUCCCUACACUAUUGACUUGAGAUUCGUCAUCUCAAUUAGAAAUAUAACAUACAUCGAUCUAUCCAAAAUAUCACCGUCCUUUCAAUAUUUCUUCGGCUAGGAGCAUUUAAAAAGUCUCAUACAGAAAAAUAUAUAUCUUAAAUUACUAACUCUUAUAAAUAUAUCUUUUCAAAUAAAGACCUUAUGGACAAUUCACGUUAAUAUUAUAUUACUAUACAAUAAAAAUAAAUAAAAUAUCUGUCCUCAUGAAUUAUAAAUAAUUAAUAUAUAAAUA
RNAcentral lists this long non-coding RNA (321 nucleotides) under Ananas comosus (pineapple). RNAcentral describes it as "long non-coding RNA (ACOM_LNC024576)". Lineage: Eukaryota; Viridiplantae; Streptophyta; Magnoliopsida; Poales; Bromeliaceae. The record is from RNAcentral.